CAGUAGCCGCGGUAAUACGAAGGGGGCUAGCGUUGCUCGGAAUGACUGGGCGUAAAGGGCGCGUAGGCGGAUGGUACAGACAGAUGUGAAAUUCCUGGGCUUAACCUGGGGGCUGCAUUUGAUACGCAUUGUCUAGAGUGAGGAAGAGGGUCGUGGAAUUCCCAGUGUAGAGGUGAAAUUCGUAGAUAUUGGGAAGAACACCGGUGGCGAAGGCGGCGACCUGGUCCUUGACUGACGCUGAGGCGCGAAUGCGUGGGGAGCGAGCAGGAUUAGAUACCCCGGUAGUCCCUGUCUCUUAUAC
RNAcentral lists this ribosomal RNA (301 nucleotides) under uncultured bacterium. RNAcentral describes it as "partial 16S ribosomal RNA". It matches the Rfam family "Bacterial small subunit ribosomal RNA", at positions 509 to 807 of the family's 1533-position model. The record is from RNAcentral.